Non-coding RNA from Lyophyllum atratum, 97 nucleotides. NCBI's taxonomy places the organism in Eukaryota, Fungi, Basidiomycota, Agaricomycetes, Agaricales, Lyophyllaceae. The record is from the annotation of a GenBank genome assembly.
UCUUUGCUAGUAUAUCGGUUAGUACACGCGCUUGUCAUGUGUAUGCUUUACAGAAUACGGUGCGCGCGAAAGCUGGGUUCGACUCCCAGGCAGAGAG